Molecule: ribosomal RNA, 468 nt
Filed under: uncultured bacterium
Lineage: Bacteria
Description: partial 16S ribosomal RNA
Rfam family: Bacterial small subunit ribosomal RNA
Source: RNAcentral
GACGAACGCUGGCGGCGUGCUUAACACAUGCAAGUCGAACGGAAAGGCCCUGCUUUUGUGGGGUGCUCGAGUGGCGAACGGGUGAGUAACACGUGAGUAACCUGCCCUUGACUUUGGGAUAACUUCAGGAAACUGGGGCUAAUACCGGAUAGGAGCUCCUGCUGCAUGGUGGGGGUUGGAAAGUUUCGGCGGUUGGGGAUGGACUCGCGGCUUAUCAGCUUGUUGGUGGGGUGGUGGCUUACCAAGGCUUUGACGGGUAGCCGGCCUGAGAGGGUGACCGGCCACAUUGGGACUGAGAUACGGCCCAGACUCCUACGGGAGGCAGCAGUGGGGAAUAUUGCACAAUGGGCGGAAGCCUGAUGCAGCAACGCUGCGUGCGGGAUGACGGCCUUCGGGUUGUAAACCGCUUUCGCCUGUGACGAAGCGUGAGUGACGGUAAUGGGUAAAGAAGCACCGGCUAACUACGUG